RNAcentral lists this ribosomal RNA (432 nucleotides) under uncultured bacterium. RNAcentral describes it as "partial 16S ribosomal RNA". It matches the Rfam family "Bacterial small subunit ribosomal RNA", at positions 29 to 506 of the family's 1533-position model. The record is from RNAcentral.
AACGAACGCUGGCGGCAUGCCUAACACAUGCAAGUCGAACGAGACCUUCGGGUCUAGUGGCGCACGGGUGCGUAACGCGUGGGAACCUGCCCUUAGGUUCGGAAUAACUCCCCGAGAGGGGUGCUAAUACCGGAUAAUGUCUUCGGACCAAAGAUUUAUCGCCUUUGGAUGGGCCCGCGUUGGAUUAGCUAGUUGGUAGGGUAAAAGCCUACCAAGGCGACGAUCCAUAGCUAGUCUGAGAGGAUGAUCAGCCACACUGGGACUGAGACACGGCCCAGACUCCUACGGGAGGCAGCAGUGGGGAAUAUGGGACAAUGGGCGAAAGCCUGAUCCAGCAAGGCCGCGGGAGUGAUGAAGGCCUUAGGGUUGUAAAGCUCUUUUACCCGGGAUGAUAAUGACAGUACCGGUAGAAUAAGCUCCGGCUAACUCCGG